CAGCACCUCAAGUGGUCAGGAUGAUUAUUGGGCCUAAAGCAUCCGUAGCCGGCUCUGUAAGUUGUCGGUUAAAUCUGUAUGCUCAACAUACAGGCUGCCGGGAAUACUGCAGAGCUAGGGAGUGGGAGAGGUAGACGGUACUCGGUAGGAAGGGGUAAAAUCCUUUGAUCUAUUGAUGACCAACUGUGGCGAAGGCGGUCUACCAGAACACGUCCGACGGUGAGGGAUGAAAGCUGAGGGAGCAAACCGGAUUAGAUACCCGAGUAGUCC
This 270-nucleotide ribosomal RNA is filed under the name uncultured archaeon. RNAcentral describes it as "partial 16S ribosomal RNA". It matches the Rfam family "Archaeal small subunit ribosomal RNA", at positions 477 to 747 of the family's 1478-position model. The record is from RNAcentral.